This 253-nucleotide ribosomal RNA is filed under the name uncultured bacterium. Its description in RNAcentral is "partial 16S ribosomal RNA". It matches the Rfam family "Bacterial small subunit ribosomal RNA", at positions 524 to 776 of the family's 1533-position model. The record is from RNAcentral.
UACAGAGGUCCCAAGCGUUGUUCGGAUUUACUGGGCGUAAAGGGUGCGUAGGCGGUGGGUUAAGUCUGACGUGAAAUCUUCAAGCUCAACUUGGAAACUGCGUCGGAUACUAGCCUGCUUGAGGAAUGGAGGGGAGACUGGAAUACUUGGUGUAGCAGUGAAAUGCGUAGAUAUCAAGUGGAACACCAGUGGCGAAGGCGAGUCUCUGGACAUUUCCUGACGCUGAGGCACGAAAGCCAGGGGAGCAAACGGG